GAUGAACGCUGGUGGCGUGCCUAAUACAUGCAAGUCGAGCGAACAGACGAGGAGCUUGCUCCUCUGACGUUAGCGGCGGACGGGUGAGUAACACGUGGAUAACCUACCUAUAAGACUGGGAUAACUUCGGGAAACCGGAGCUAAUACCGGAUAAUAUAUUGAACCGCAUGGUCCAAUAGUGAAAGACGGUUUUGCUGUCACUUAUAGAUGGAUCCGCGCCGCAUUAGCUAGUUGGUAAGGUAACGGCUUACCAAGGCGACGAUGCGUAGCCGACCUGAGAGGGUGAUCGGCCACACUGGAACUGAGACACGGUCCAGACUCCUACGGGAGGCAGCAGUAGGGAAUCUUCCGCAAUGGGCGAAAGCCUGACGGAGCAACGCCGCGUGAGUGAUGAAGGUCUUCGGAUCGUAAAACUCUGUUAUUAGGGAAGAACAAAUGUGUAAGUAACUAUGCACGUCUUGACGGUACCUAAUCAGAAAGCCACGGCUAACUACGUG
RNAcentral lists this ribosomal RNA (497 nucleotides) under uncultured bacterium. RNAcentral describes it as "partial 16S ribosomal RNA". It matches the Rfam family "Bacterial small subunit ribosomal RNA", at positions 28 to 507 of the family's 1533-position model. The record is from RNAcentral.